This 184-nucleotide ribosomal RNA is filed under the name Triadelphia pulvinata. RNAcentral's name for it is "5.8S ribosomal RNA". The stretch from base 1 to 136 matches the Rfam family "5.8S ribosomal RNA", at positions 19 to 154 of the family's 154-position model. Rfam says of the family: 5.8S ribosomal RNA (5.8S rRNA) is a component of the large subunit of the eukaryotic ribosome. It is transcribed by RNA polymerase I as part of the 45S precursor that also contains 18S and 28S rRNA. Lineage: Eukaryota; Fungi; Ascomycota; Sordariomycetes. The record is from RNAcentral.
UCUUGGCUGUGGCAUCGAUGAAGAACGCAGCGAAAUGCGAUAACUAAUGUGAAUUGCAGAAUUCAGUGAAUCAUCGAGUCUUUGAACGCACAUUGCGCCCGCCGGUAUUCCGGCGGGCAUGCCUGUCCGAGCGUCAUUUCGACCCUCGCGCCCUCCCCAGGGCGCGGUGUUGGGUGCCCCCGCG